UCAACCCAUUUAACCAUCUAACCCAUCAAAUUAAAUGAGUUUAUGGGUUGAUUCAACUCAUUUUGCUAAAUGAGUUGAAUCAACCCAUAAACUCAUUUAACUUCAAACUCAUUGGGUAAUGAGU
RNAcentral lists this microRNA precursor (124 nucleotides) under Arabidopsis thaliana x Arabidopsis arenosa. RNAcentral describes it as "MIR405". It matches the Rfam family "MIR405 microRNA precursor family". Lineage: Eukaryota; Viridiplantae; Streptophyta; Magnoliopsida; Brassicales; Brassicaceae. The record is from RNAcentral.